AUUAGGAAUCUUGCACAAUGGGGGCAACCCUGAUGCAGCGACACAGUGUGGAGGAUGAAGGUCUUCGGAUUGUAAACUCCUUUUAUAUGGGACGAAUAAAUGACGGUACCAUAUGAAUAAGCACCUGCUAACUACGUGCCAGAAGCAUCGGUGAUGCGUAGGGUGCAAACGUUAUCCGGAUUUAUUGGGCGUAUAGAGAAGCGUAGGUGUUCCUGUAAGUCUUUAGUUAAAUACCACGGCUCAACCGUGGAAAAGCUUUGGAAACUACAGGAAUUGAGACAGGAAGAGGUGAAUGGAAUUCCCAGUGGAGCGGUGAAAUGCGUUGAUAUUGGGAGGAACAUCAGUGGCGAAGGCGAUUCACUGGUCCUUGUCUGACACUAAGGCUCGAAAGCGUGGGUAGCAAAACGGAUUAGAUACCCUAGUAGUCC
Molecule: ribosomal RNA, 428 nt
Filed under: uncultured bacterium
Lineage: Bacteria
Description: partial 16S ribosomal RNA
Rfam family: Bacterial small subunit ribosomal RNA
Source: RNAcentral